GGAUGCGAUCAUACCAGCACUAAAGCACUGGA
This 32-nucleotide ribosomal RNA is filed under the name Deschampsia antarctica (Antarctic hairgrass). Lineage: Eukaryota; Viridiplantae; Streptophyta; Magnoliopsida; Poales; Poaceae. The record is from RNAcentral.